UUCAGGGACAGGAACAAGCGAGGACAAGACAGAGAAACAUGAAGAGGUUUCGCAGGGACGAAGACGCGUGGUGAUCAACAUCACCGACAUCAAACGACCACCCCCACCUCAACAUCUGAACAAGUACUUGGCGGCUGACACCCCAAAGGACGACAAACCAUUGCCACCACAUUGACCAUGAAGAUAACUUCAUGGAUGCUGCCCUCCACACUAGGAGGGAAAGACAAGUUGCCCUAGUUAUGUUUGUGUGGUAGUAUCGUAUCUUUAUUUAUUUCAGUCUGUCCUACUACUAGUAGUACUCAAGUCUCGUGUUUCCGCAAUUAGUCUCUCUGUCAUGUUAUUAUUUCAUCAAGCUUGCUGCAUGACACGUCUUGUAAGCAAACAUUAGUUGUAAAAGUUAUGUGUACCUUCAAGUAUCAAUCCUAUUUACCAAUUAUUGGCACGCCCA
Long non-coding RNA from Triticum dicoccoides, 448 nucleotides. RefSeq lists it as uncharacterized. The transcript has 2 exons. NCBI's taxonomy places the organism in Eukaryota, Viridiplantae, Streptophyta, Magnoliopsida, Poales, Poaceae. The record is from RefSeq and is a predicted model, not a curated record.